Molecule: long non-coding RNA, 2261 nt
Organism: Gambusia affinis (western mosquitofish)
Lineage: Eukaryota; Metazoa; Chordata; Actinopteri; Cyprinodontiformes; Poeciliidae
Exons: 3
Source: RefSeq, a predicted model, not a curated record
GAGAAUGACAGAGGAUGAGAGGCAGAAAUGUGGGCGAAGAAGACAAAAGAUGGAUUUAAAAGCAGGAGGGGAAAGGGAAAGAUUUUUUAAAGGGGUGAGGUUGGGAUGAGGAACAGAGGAGAAAUAAAAAAGAAACACAAGGGGGGAUUAUAUUCUCUGAUCAUGCAUACUAUACAUUAUUCACAUCCCCACAUCCUUUCUGGAGGAAGCUCAAUCCAAGUUUUAUUUGCAUGUGCAUCAAAAGAUUCUGUGUGAGGCGAAAAAAAAGGAGUAUUUUUCCAGAGAGGGGAGAAGUCUGGGAACUCUUGUCUUUAAAAUCACAGCAGGUGUACAGUCGCCUGUGGACUUACUACUGUGACCAGAUGUUAAAUCAGACUAAACAGUACAAAGAGUGAUUGUACAAAAUAAUAAAUGCCUUAUCUUUGUGCUCAGAUGCAUCCUGAACUUGACCUUAAAAACCAUCUUUCCACAAGCAAACGGAAAAAAUAUAGAAUUUUCUUAAUUUGAUUGAUAAAACAUAAGGACAAAAAUAUGUUUAGAAGAACAGUCUGUUCUUAUAAACAUGAUUAACUUUUAUGUUUUUGGUUUGAAUCAUUAUAUGAAUAUGUUUUAUUCAUUCGCCUUCAGGAACCUUCGGAUAUUUUACAUCUAUCUCAAUGAAUAGUGACGAGACGCAUAAUAAAAAACGUCUGUUGCGGAUUUCUUUCCCAAAUUAGGUUUUUGAUUCGUUGGAUUUACAAUUUCUUUGCCCACGAAACUUUACAUUUUGAACCGAUGUUCCAAACAAAGCAAUUUGUCACAGAAUAAGACGAAUUUUGGCGACAAAUUCAGUUUUACUACGAUAUGACUCUGCACUCGAACUCAGCACGGUGUAGCUUGUCUGUAUCGACACAGCUGGCGAUAAUUAGCUAAUCAACAAUAGCUAACUUUUCUUCAAUUUUCGGAAUCAAGUCCCCUUCCCCUCUGCAGGGCCUCUCGGGUCAGAGGGACGUUGAUUCGGUGCGCGCAAGCUGUGGGAACCACGACACACUCGCAAAGCCCCGGGCAAAUGCUUCAGAUGCCCCAUGUCCAUAAAAGGUUGCAGUGAAACAUGUGAACGACUAAAAAAGACAAGCAGCGAAAGUUUUCCUCCUGGAGAGGAAUGCAUGACUCGUCCAUUGGGAGAUGUUUCCGCAGAAUCCAGUAACGCAUCACAGUCCCCUGCCUCAGGUGUUCGGGUUGAACCUCUUGCCCUGCCGUAGACACGUCUGGGGACUCUCUCUGCACUGACACAGACACGUGUCGGGAUUUAGGGGCUGAUUCCUGGGACACUCCACCGCGCACACACAACCGCACAGCUCAUCGUCCCACCGCUGUCCGAAAGGACACAGCUUCCCCUCGCCUUGGCCUUCGCACUGGCACUCACCUGAGCACAAAGGUAGGAAGAGGAGGGAGCAGGAGAUCAGAGCAGUGGUUGCACAACCAAAACUUAAUCAGAUGGUGUGUUUCGUGUUCAUACUUGUUUAAAAUUUGCAUAAAGACUAAUUUUUUUUUCUUCUAUCUUGGCCUGAAUCAAUUUGUGGUAUUGACAGUAAGCACUCUCAGUAAAACCUAAAAUAACUGGAAGUUUACAUAAGCAACAAACCAGAUGGAAAUUAAAAUCCAUCCAGAUGGAAAUUCAGUUUAAAGGCUGAAUGCCUUUAAAAAGUAUUUUCCCCCUUGGAAGUUUUACUCUUUUUAUAGUUUAUUCAAGUGAAUUAUUAGCAACAUAAUUUGGCUUUUUUGAUUAAAUAAAAUGUCGAAAAAGCUUUUUUUGCCAAGUGGAAACAUAUUUCCAUGAAAUAUUGACAAUUUAAUAAAAACAUAAAAUAAGUGACUGCAUAUCCCUCCCCAUUUAAGGUGACUGACCUAAUUCAGCAGAGGUCCAACAAACUGGUGCUUGCAGUCAGUGAGUGUCUCUAGUGACUGUACUAUGAAGAGCAUUCAUUGGCUAAUCAGUAUUCCUGGCUACAAAGCAAUAGAAGAUGGUUUAAUUUGAUUUAAACUCAAAUAAACAAUAAAAUAUGGAUCACAAUGGAACACAUGCACUCUUAUUUUAUUUGUCCUGUUUAUUACCUAGCCAGAUCUGAGUUUACCUGAGACUGUUUACUAACUUAUAAUGUAUUUUAUUGAGAUUUUAUGUGCACACAGUGUUGUGUGCACAUAAAAUAUUUUUACCAGUAAUAAUCUCAAAUGUCUUCUGUGCAUUUGUAUUCUGACAAAUUAAAGUUCUGCAUAGUUAA